GGGAGAGGCGGAGGGAAGAGGGGGAAAUCCCUUUUAGUUUUGCGAUUAGGCUGCCAGGCUUUGUAAAGGGCUUAAAAACAAAGUCAUGCUCAGUCUUUUGUAGGAGAGAUCCAGAUGUUAUGUAGAUUUCUGUUUGCAUGUUCGUUUUGAGCGGAUCCGGCGGUGAGCGCAGUAUUUACCGUGUGCGUGCUGCUGGACUUUACCGUUUAUCGACGUUGCGCUUGUGGAAUGUAUGCUGGAGUAUUAGCUCGAGGAUCUCCUCCAAGAUUAAAGCUAGUCCUAAGAGCAACCGAAUUGCUGUGACUGACUUUCACGGGACUGUAAAGAGAGAGGGAAAACCCCCAACUCUGGACGAAACACGAGCGGCGCGGGGUCGCUCUGCCGCGGAGCCCCCGUUUCCCCGCUGGCUGCCCGGGCCGCGGGGCUGCAGCCGGCGCUCCAUCAGCAGCCCUCUAGCGCUAUCUGGCGGGGCUCCAAGCCCAGCGGAGCCGAGCCGGCCGCGGGGCUCGCUCGGCGGCCGCAGGGCCCUCGGCCCCGGCUCAGCGGCUCCCGCGGGACGCUGCUGUGGCCAGGCCCACCUUCCAUCCCUAAGGGGCGAAACCCGCCCCGGCAAGGAGCAUAGACAUGAACCCCUUCGCGUUUGUCCGCUGCCUAUAAAACUCCAGAAGAGGAGCGCUCUCAUUUUUACACUGGAGUUCUCGGUCCGGAGAGAACAAUAUACUCCUACCUCUUUUGAAAUGAUCCGGAGACUCUCACAACACACAAGCAAUCACUCGAAGCACGAAAUUCCCCUUUUUUUUUUUUUUCUCAAGAAACUGCUUGGCCCAUUGUUUGAAGUGGGAUUCAGCGCACAGCCCAAAGAGAAAAGGAAAAAAAAAAAAUCUUGAGAGCCCCGUUUGGUAUUGCACAGAGAGAGAGCUGACAAAAUAUUAUAGCGUGUUUCCUAGAAGUACGUGGUGAGAGCCGGCGGUGUGUUCCGGAAAAGAGGUUGCUUUUUAUUUCCACCUCCACCCCCCCAAGAUUGUGAUCGUCUUUGUAUGUCUUUCUUUUGAUCCCACAAAGAGAAUGCAAUAUACAUAUACGUGUUUGCUCUCCAUACAAGAAAUGCCAUACAAUGGAAUAUGCGGCCGGUUAGUCCUCAUAAUGCUUAGUUUUGCUGUAAUUAAUUGAAAACAGUUAUUAGGUCGUCAUUGGCAAUAGCGUAAAUAAUUGCAGCAGAUUUUUACUUAAAAUUGACCGGUCAUGGAGUGAUAGAUCGAUUCGAGGUAUAAAAAUGAUGUAUCAAAACAUCAAUGUCGAUUAUUUGAAAUAUUGUAGUCGAAUCUUUUUAUUGCUUCAUCGGUUAAGUGUCUGAAAGUGCUGUGUUCCAACAUAUAUUUAUGUUGUCAAUACUGUCAAAACUGUCAGUUUUAUUACAGUGGAUUUGUAAUACAUUUCGGAUUUGCUCAUUUACAUAAAAUGUCCACCUCAGAUACCCCUCCUUUUCUCCAUCUCUGGAAAUCUGUGUCAGUUUAAUGAAAGGAUUCAAGACUCAUACCUGAAGAGGGAAAAAAAAAAAAAAAAAAAGGAGGAAAAAAACCCUGAAGGAGGUAUUUCUCCAUUAUGUCCAAUUUUAACAUCCUUUUGGAAAGCUUGGGCUACUUCUGGCAUGCCAAAAGAGGGAAUUCCUCUCCCCCCCCCGCCCCCCCCCUUUACCCUGGCCCCUCUUAUUUCCUCAGUAGAAUUUACAGACUUUUCUGCUCUCACACCUAGAUUAAACCCUCCAGGAGAAUUGGGAAAUGGUACAAGGUUAUAGUGAUGAGCCAAAGCACACCUGUGCAUGCCACAGCCUUCCCAAAGAGAGCAACAAGCCCCAGAACCACAAACACACGCGCAGGGGUCUGAAUCCCGCUAGAAAGAAGGAGACAAAAGAAGCAAUAAAUAUGUGUGUGAUCCUUUCCUUUGGUUUGGA
Long non-coding RNA from Parus major (Great Tit), 1951 nucleotides. Ensembl lists it as uncharacterized. Lineage: Eukaryota; Metazoa; Chordata; Aves; Passeriformes; Paridae. The record is from Ensembl.